Long non-coding RNA from Thalassophryne amazonica, 177 nucleotides. RefSeq lists it as uncharacterized. Lineage: Eukaryota; Metazoa; Chordata; Actinopteri; Batrachoidiformes; Batrachoididae. The transcript is spliced from 3 exons. The record is from RefSeq and is a predicted model, not a curated record.
GCAGAGCUUAAGGCUGCACAAGGGUCACAACAUGACCACUGAUACAGCACAGGUGGACGAGGUUAAAUGUGGCUGAUUCCUUAUCGAGAUUAUUGAAGAUGCUCCUCAGGCCUGCAUUGGGUGUGUGUGUGUGUGUGUGUGUGUGUGUGUGUGUGUGUGUGUGUGUGUGUGUGUGUG